GCGUCAGUAGUGCAAAGGGUUUGAGCACGCGCUCCUGGAUGGGGUGAGAUGUGGGUUCGAGUCCCGCCUGACGCG
Parelaphostrongylus tenuis is the source of this 75-nucleotide non-coding RNA. NCBI's taxonomy places the organism in Eukaryota, Metazoa, Nematoda, Chromadorea, Rhabditida, Metastrongylidae. The record is from the annotation of a GenBank genome assembly.